UACGGGGGGGGCAAGGGUUGUUCGGAAUUACUGGGCGUAAAGGGCUCGUAGGCGGCCAACUAAGUCAGACGUGAAAUCCCUCGGCUUAACCGGGGAACUGCGUCUGAUACUGGAUGGCUUGAGGUUGGGAGAGGGAUGCGGAAUUCCAGGUGUAGCGGUGAAAUGCGUAGAUAUCUGGAGGAACACCGGUGGCGAAGGCGGCAUCCUGGACCAACACUGACGCUGAGUGAGCGAAAGCCAGGGGAGCAAACGGG
RNAcentral lists this ribosomal RNA (254 nucleotides) under uncultured bacterium. RNAcentral describes it as "partial 16S ribosomal RNA". It matches the Rfam family "Bacterial small subunit ribosomal RNA", at positions 524 to 776 of the family's 1533-position model. The record is from RNAcentral.